RNAcentral lists this ribosomal RNA (216 nucleotides) under Pheidole deima. Its description in RNAcentral is "partial large subunit ribosomal RNA". The record is from RNAcentral. Lineage: Eukaryota; Metazoa; Arthropoda; Insecta; Hymenoptera; Formicidae.
GAAUUUUAUAUAAAUUUAUUAUUAAGAUUAUAAUAUAUUGUUAGUAGAUUUAUAUUUUAUUGGGAGGAUAGUUAAAUUAAAUAAACUUUAAUAAGAGUAAAGUCAUUAGUGAAUGAUUUAACAAAGAUGAAUGGCUGAUUAGUUUAAGUAGAAUUAAUUACCUUAGGGAUAACAGCGUAAUAUUUUUAGAGAGACCUUAUUGAUAAAAAUGAUUGC